This 253-nucleotide ribosomal RNA is filed under the name uncultured bacterium. RNAcentral describes it as "partial 16S ribosomal RNA". It matches the Rfam family "Bacterial small subunit ribosomal RNA", at positions 524 to 776 of the family's 1533-position model. The record is from RNAcentral.
UACGUAGGGUGCGAGCGUUAAUCGGAAUUACUGGGCGUAAAGCGUGCGCAGGCGGUUUUGUAAGUCAGAUGUGAAAUCCCCGGGCUUAACCUGGGAACUGCGUUUGAAACUACAAGGCUAGAGUGUAGCAGAGGGGGGUGGAAUUCCACGUGUAGCAGUGAAAUGCGUAGAGAUGUGGAGGAACACCGAUGGCGAAGGCAGCCCCCUGGGCUAACACUGACGCUGAGGCACGAAAGCCAAGGUAGCAAACGGG